GGGAUAACUACUGGAAACGGUAGCUAAUACCGCAUAACGUCGUAAGACCAAAGAGGGGGACCUUCGGGCCUCUUGCCAUCGGAUGUGCCCAGAUGGGAUUAGCUUGUUGGUGGGGUAACGGCUCACCAAGGCGACGAUCCCUAGCUGGUCUGAGAGGAUGACCAGCCACACUGGAACUGAGACACGGUCCAGACUCCUACGGGAGGCAGCGGUGGGGAAUAUUGCACAAUGGGCGCAAGCCUGAUGCAGCCAUGCCGCGUGUAUGAAGAAGGCCUUCGGGUUGUAAAGUACUUUCAGCGGGGAGGAAGGGAGUAAAGUUAAUACCUUUGCUCAUUGACGUUACCCGCAGAAGAAGCACCGGCUAACUCCGUGCCAGCAGCCGCGGUAAUACGGAGGGUGCAAGCGUUAAUCGGAAUUACUGGGCGUAAAGCGCACGCAGGCGGUUUGUUAAGUCAGAUGUGAAAUCCCCGGGCUCAACCUGGGAACUGCAUCUGAUACUGGCAAGCUUGAGUCUCGUAGAGGGGGGUAGAAUUCCAGGUGUAGCGGUGAGAUGCGUAGAGAUCUGGAGGAAUACCGGUGGCGAAGGCGGCCCCCUGGACGAAGACUGACGCUCAGGUGCGAAAGCGUGGGGAGCAAACAGGAUUAGAUACCCU
This 653-nucleotide ribosomal RNA is filed under the name uncultured bacterium. RNAcentral describes it as "bacterial SSU rRNA". It matches the Rfam family "Bacterial small subunit ribosomal RNA", at positions 140 to 788 of the family's 1533-position model. The record is from RNAcentral.